Molecule: non-coding RNA, 599 nt
Organism: Dipodomys ordii (Ord's kangaroo rat)
Lineage: Eukaryota; Metazoa; Chordata; Mammalia; Rodentia; Heteromyidae
Source: the annotation of a RefSeq genome assembly
AACCCUGCAGCUGUGCCCAGACCUGCCCACAACCUCCUGAUUUCCAUGUGCCCAGAGCACAGCCCACUGCCCUGAACACUUCUUCAUAGGCUGCUCACACCCUGUGCAGCUGUCAGUCCCAGUCAGCACACAGCAUGGACAUGAGGACCCCUGCUCAGCUCCUGGGACUCCUGUUGCUCUGCCUUCCAGGUGCCAGAUGUGACAUCCAGAUGACCCAGACUCCAUCCUCCCUGUCUGCAUCUCCAGGAGACAGAGUCACCAUCAAUUGCCGGGCCAGUCAGGGCAUUAGCAGUUGGUUAGCCUGGUAUCAGCAGAAACCAGGGAAAGCUCCCAAACUCCUGAUAUACAAAGCAUCUAAUUUAGAAUCAGGUGUUCCAUCCAGGUUCAGUGGCAGUGGAUCUGGGACACAGUUUACUCUCACCAUCAGCAGCCUGCAGCCUGAAGAUUUUGCUACUUAUUACUGUCAACAGUAUGACAGCUAUCCUCCCACAGUGAUACAAGUCAUGUCAAAAACCUCAAAGGAAAGCAGAAGUAAGAGACUUGGCUGCCCCAGCUGCUGCUACUGCAACCUCUACCUGCUGAUGAUGCUUCUAAGAUGA